UUUGAUGUCUGUAAUCGAUGG
This 21-nucleotide non-coding RNA is filed under the name Caenorhabditis elegans. Lineage: Eukaryota; Metazoa; Nematoda; Chromadorea; Rhabditida; Rhabditidae. The record is from RNAcentral.